GCGGACUUCGCGGGCGGCGGGUUGACGGGGGCGUUCGCGAUCUGCCUGGCGAUCAUCGCGCGCGAGAAGACGGGCCGCGGCCAGAACGUGGACAUCGGCAUGAGCGACGGCGUGCUCUCGCUGAUGACCAGCGCGUUCAGCGGGUUCUUCGGAAACGGCCAGCCGAUCCGGCCGGGCGCGAUGCUCCUCAACGGCGCGUCUCCGUUUUACAACACCUACGAGUGCUCGGACGGGCGCUGGUUCAGCAUCGGGAGCAUCGAAGGGCACUUCUGGGAAGCGCUCUGCAAAGUAAUCGGCACCGAAGACCUGCUACCAAAACAGUUCGCGCAGGACGAGUGGCCCGCGAUGAUCGAACGGUUCAAGCCGAUCUUCAAGCAGAAGACGGCAGACGAAUGGAUGGCGAUCAUGUCGCAGUACGACAUCUGCGCCGCGCCCGUACUUGAGAUGGAGAACGUGGUCACAAACGAGCACAAUCUCGCCCGCAACAUGGUUGUCGAAGUCGACUCGCCAAUCGGCAAGGUGAAGCAGACCGGCGUCGGGCCGAAGCUGAGCGACACCCCGGGCAAGC
This 568-nucleotide unclassified non-coding RNA is filed under the name uncultured fungus. RNAcentral describes it as "sequence contains 18S rRNA gene, ITS1, 5.8S rRNA gene, ITS2, 28S rRNA gene". The record is from RNAcentral. Lineage: Eukaryota; Fungi.